GACGAACCGUGCGAACGUUAUUCGGAAUCGCUGGGCUUAAAGCGCGUGUAGGCGGGACGGCACGUCGGUCGCUGAAAUCCCCCGGCUUAACCGGGGAACGGGCGUCGAUACGACCGUCCUGGAGGGGCGUAGGGGGACCUGGAACUUCCGGUGGAGCGGUGAAAUGCGUUGAGAUCGGAAGGAACGCCCGUGGCGAAAGCGAGGUCCUGGACGCCUACUGACGCUGAGACGCGAAAGCCAGGGGAGCGAACGGG
RNAcentral lists this ribosomal RNA (254 nucleotides) under uncultured bacterium. Its description in RNAcentral is "partial 16S ribosomal RNA". It matches the Rfam family "Bacterial small subunit ribosomal RNA", at positions 524 to 776 of the family's 1533-position model. The record is from RNAcentral.